RNAcentral lists this non-coding RNA (230 nucleotides) under Paenibacillus selenitireducens. RNAcentral's name for it is "T-box sequence". It matches the Rfam family "T-box leader". Rfam says of the family: Uncharged tRNA acts as the effector for transcription antitermination of genes in the T-box leader family. T-boxes are found upstream of many aminoacyl-tRNA synthetase genes and some amino acid biosynthetic genes usually in Gram-positive bacteria. The anticodon of a specific tRNA base pairs to a specifier sequence within the T-box motif, and the NCCA acceptor tail of the tRNA base pairs to a conserved bulge in the T-box antiterminator hairpin. The record is from RNAcentral. Lineage: Bacteria; Bacillati; Bacillota; Bacilli; Caryophanales; Paenibacillaceae.
CUAAUAUUGAUGAAUGGGAUAGUAUUCCGUGAAGAUGAUGUUACAGCGAGCCGGGUAGGUGGAAGCCGGUACAGAAAUCAUGGAAGAAUCGCACCCAGGAAAUGAUCUGUUGAACGCGGAACACGUAGGCAGAUCCGGUCAUAGACCGUUACAAAAACGAGGGGUUGGACCGAUACAGGUUCAGCUACUUAGAGUGGUACCACGGGACCUAUUAGGCGCUCGUCUCUUUU